AUGCGCCCAUGCCGGACGCCUCUCCUCGACUCCACCUCGCCGCUGUCCGUGCUCCUCCUCGACCACCUCCACCGCAAUCGCCCCUCCCCUCCCCCCUCAGCCUCGCCGCCGUCAGCCUUCUGGUCUCCCAUCGCCGCAUUCGCCGCUGCCACAAAGCGCGCCCGAGCCGGGACGCUCAGCCCUGAGGACGCACACCACCUGUUCGACGAAUUGCUACGCCAGUCCAACCCGGUCCCCAAUCGCUUCCUGAACAGCUUCCUUGCCGCCCUCGCCCGUGCUCCACCCUCCGACGCCUGCGGAGAUGGCCCCGCCCUCACCGUCGCCCUCUUCAACCGCCUGUGCCGAGAAGAGGCCGGCCCUUGUGUAGCGCCGCCCACUAUCUAUACCUACAGCAUUCUAAUGGACAGCUGCUGCCGCGUGGGUCGCCCGGACCUUGGGCUUGCUGUCUUCGGCCGCCUACUCAAGUCGGGCUUCAAGGCAGACCAGAGCACUGCCAGCAGCCUCCUCAUGUGCCUCUGCGAUGUAGGACGGACAAACGAGGCUGUGGACGUGCUGCUUCAUAGGAUCUCCGAGCUCGGCUGUGAGCCUAAUGUCAUCCCAUACAACAUAGUUCUUAAGAGCUUAUGUGACAGUAGAAGGAGCCAGCAAGCUCUUGACCUGCUCCAGAUGAUGGCACAAAGAGGUUGCUGCUCCCCUAAUGUGGUGUCAUAUAACACCGUCAUUCAUGGCUUAUUUAAGGAAGGUGAAGUAAGCAUGGCGUGCUCAUUAUUCUAUGAAAUGAUGCGGCAAAGGGUUAUGCCUAAUGUGGUGACAUAUAGAUCGAUGAUUGGUGCGUUGUGCAAGGUCGGGGCAACGGACAAGGCAAAGCUGGUCCUUGGUCAUAUGGUUGGUAAUGGUUUUCGACCAGAUAAGUAUAUUUGGAACUCAUUCAUGGCAUCUCUUUGCAAGCAGGGAAGAAGCAAGGAAGCUGCACAACUUUUUGAUUACAUGGUCGCCAAGGGCCACAAACCUGAUGUUGUCACGUACUCUACUCUGCUUCAUGGGUAUGCUACUGAAGGAUGCUUCACUGAUAUGAUUAAUCUCUUUAAUUCAAUGGAAGGCAACGGUAUUGUAGCUAACAGCUGUGUUUUUAACAUACUAAUUGACGCAUAUGCUAAACGUGGAAUGAUGCAUGAAGCUAUGCUCAUAUUUACUGAAAUGCGGGAACGAAGAGUGAGUCCUGAUAUAUUCACCUAUGGAAUUAUAAUAGCUGCACUUUGCAGAAUGGGUAGGCUAUCUGAUGCUAUGGAGAAAAUAAAUGAAAUGGUUGCUACAGGAUUACAACCGGACAAGGCUGUUUACUAUUCCCUAAUUCAGGGUUUUUGUACACAUGAUGAUUUGGUCAAAGCUAAGGAGUUGGUUUCUGAGAUGAUGACCAAAGGUAUUCCUCGUCCUAACAUUGUGUUCUUCAACUCGGUAAUAGCCAGUCUGUGCAAAGAAGGAAGGGUUAAGGAUGCACACGGUAUCUUUGACUUGGCUCUGAACAUUGGUGAGAGGCCCGAUUUAAUUCACUGA
RNAcentral lists this ribosomal RNA (1554 nucleotides) under Triticum aestivum (bread wheat). Its description in RNAcentral is "partial small subunit ribosomal RNA". The record is from RNAcentral. Lineage: Eukaryota; Viridiplantae; Streptophyta; Magnoliopsida; Poales; Poaceae.